UACGUAGGGUGCGAGCGUUAAUCGGAAUUACUGGGCGUAAAGCGUGCGCAGGCGGUUUUGUAAGCCAGAUGUGAAAGCCCCGGGCUUAACCUGGGAAUGGCAUUUGGGACUGCAAGGCUCGAGUGCGGCAGAGGAGACUGGAAUUCCUGGUGUAGCAGUGAAAUGCGUAGAUAUCAGGAGGAAUACCGAUGGCGAAGGCAGGUCUCUGGGCUGACACUGACGCUCAUGCACGAAAGCGUGGGGAGCGAACAGG
Molecule: ribosomal RNA, 253 nt
Filed under: uncultured bacterium
Lineage: Bacteria
Description: partial 16S ribosomal RNA
Rfam family: Bacterial small subunit ribosomal RNA
Source: RNAcentral